GACGAGUGGCGGACGGGUGAGUAACGCGUAGGAAUCUGCCUAAUAGUGGGGGACAACCUGGUGAAAACCAGGCUAAUACCGCAUACGCCCUACGGGGGAAAGCGGGGGAUCUUCGGACCUCGCGCUAUCAGAUGAGUAUGCGUCUUAUUAGCUAGAUGGUAAGGUAACGGCUUACCAUGGCAACGAUAAGUAGGGGUCCUGAGAGGGAGAUCCCCCACACUGGUACUGAGACACGGACCAGACUCCUACGGGAGGCAGCAGUGAGGAAUAUUGGGCAAUGGAGGCAACUCUGACCCAGCCAUGUCGCGUGCAGGAAGACGGCCCUAUGGGUUGUAAACUGCUUUUAUAGAGGAAGAAACCCCAUUACGUGUAAUGGGCUGACGGUACUCUACGAAUAAAGACCGGCUAACUCCGUGCCAGCAGCCGCGGUAAUACGGAGGGUCUAAGCGUUAUCCGGAAUCAUUGGGUUUAAAGGGUCCGUAGGCGGGCUAAUAAGUCAGAGGUGAAAUCCCACAGCUCAACUGUGGAACUGCCUUUGAUACUGUUAGUCUUGAGUUAUAGUGAGGUAGAUAGAAUGUGUAGUGUAGCGGUGAAAUGCAUAGAUAUUACACAGAAUACCGAUUGCGAAGGCAGUCUACUAACUAUAUACUGACGCUGAUGGACGAAAGCGUGGGGAGCGAACAGGAUUAGAUACCCUGGUAGUCCAAGCCGUAAACGAUGGAUACUAGCUGUUAGUUAUGCCGUAGGGGAUGAUGANGUGGCCAAGCAAAAGAGAUAAGUAUCCCACCUGGGGAGUACGUUCGCAAGAAUGAAACUCAAAGGAAUUGACGGGGGCCNGCACAAGCGGUGGAGCAUGUGGUUUAAUUCGCAUGAUACGNGAGGAACCUUACCAGGGCUUAAAUGUAAGUNGCAUGGGGUAGAGAUACCCCUUUCUUCGGACUACUUACANGGUGNUGCAUGGUUGUCGGCAGCUCGUGCCGGGAGGUGUCAGGUUNAAGUCCUAUAACNAGCGCNACCCCUAUCGUUUAGUUGCNAACAGGUCAAGCUGUGGACUCUANCGAGACUGCCCGGCAAACCGCGAGGAAGGUGGGGAAUGACNUCAAAUCAUCACCGCCCUUACGUCCUGGGCUACACACGUGCUACA
Molecule: ribosomal RNA, 1144 nt
Filed under: uncultured bacterium
Lineage: Bacteria
Description: bacterial SSU rRNA
Rfam family: Bacterial small subunit ribosomal RNA
Source: RNAcentral